This 383-nucleotide ribosomal RNA is filed under the name Lopidea robiniae. RNAcentral's name for it is "eukaryotic LSU rRNA". It matches the Rfam family "Eukaryotic large subunit ribosomal RNA", at positions 650 to 984 of the family's 3401-position model. The record is from RNAcentral. Lineage: Eukaryota; Metazoa; Arthropoda; Insecta; Hemiptera; Miridae.
CGUCUUGAAACACGGACCAAGGAGUUUAGCGUGUACGCGAGUCAAUGAGUAUACACUAAACUUAAAGGCGAAACAAAAGUGAAGGCUUUCCCUUGAAAGGAAGCUGAGGGAAGAUGUGAUGACUCGCUCCUUAAAAAAGCAGUCACUCCGCAUUCCCGGGGCGUUCUUCUCUCAUUGCGAGAGUGGGCGCACCCAGAGCGUACACGCUGAUACCCGAAAGAUGGUGAACUAUGCCUGGCCAGGAUGAAGCCAGGGGAAACCCUGGUGGAGGUCCGAAGCGAUUCUGACGUGCAAAUCGAUCGUCGGAGCUGGGUUUAGGGGCGAAAGACCAAUCGAACCAUCUAGUAGCUGGUUCCCUCUGAAGUUUCCCUCAGGAUAAGCUA